GAUGAACGCUGGCGGCGUGCCUAAUACAUGCCAGUCGAGCGAACGGACGAGAAGCUUGCUUUUCUGAUGUUAGCGGCGGACGGGUGAGUAACACGUGGAUAACCUACCUAUAAGACUGGGAUAACUUCGGGAAACCGGAGCUAAUACCGGAUAAUAUUUUGAACCGCAUGGUUCAAAAGUGAAAGACGGUCUUGCUGUCACUUAUAGAUGGAUCCGCGCUGCAUUAGCUAGUUGGUAAGGUAACGGCUUUCCAAGGCAACGAUGCAUAGCCGACCUGAGAGGGUGAUCGGCCACACUGGAACUGAGACACGGUCCAGACUCCUACGGGAGGCAGCAGUAGGGAAUCUUCCGCAAUGGGCGAAAGCCUGACGGAGCAACGCCGCGUGAGUGAUGAAGGUCUUCGGAUCGUAAAACUCUGUUAUUAGGGAAGAACAUAUGUGUAAGUAACUGUGCACAUCUUGACGGUACCUAAUCAGAAAGCCACGGCUAACUACGUG
This 497-nucleotide ribosomal RNA is filed under the name uncultured bacterium. RNAcentral describes it as "partial 16S ribosomal RNA". It matches the Rfam family "Bacterial small subunit ribosomal RNA", at positions 28 to 507 of the family's 1533-position model. The record is from RNAcentral.